This 612-nucleotide ribosomal RNA is filed under the name uncultured bacterium. RNAcentral's name for it is "bacterial SSU rRNA". It matches the Rfam family "Bacterial small subunit ribosomal RNA", at positions 202 to 803 of the family's 1533-position model. The record is from RNAcentral.
AAAGGUGGCUAUGCUACCGCUUUUGGAUGGGCCCGCGGCGCAUUAGCUAGUUGGUGGGGUAAAGGCUUACCAAGGCAAUGAUGCGUAGCCGAACUGAGAGGUUGAUCGGCCACAUUGGGACUGAGACACGGCCCAAACUCCUACGGGAGGCAGCAGUAGGGAAUCUUCCACAAUGGGCGAAAGCCUGAUGGAGCAACGCCGCGUGGGUGAAGAAGGUCUUCGGAUCGUAAAACCCUGUUGUUAGAGAAGAAAGUGCGUGAGAGUAACUGUUCACGUUUCGACGGUAUCUAACCAGAAAGCCACGGCUAACUACGUGCCAGCAGCCGCGGUAAUACGUAGGUGGCAAGCGUUAUCCGGAUUUAUUGGGCGUAAAGGGAACGCAGGCGGUCUUUUAAGUCUGAUGUGAAAGCCUUCGGCUUAACCGGAGUAGUGCAUUGGAAACUGGGAGACUUGAGUGCAGAAGAGGAGAGUGGAACUCCAUGUGUAGCGGUGAAAUGCGUAGAUAUAUGGAAGAACACCAGUGGCGAAAGCGGCUCUCUGGUCUGUAACUGACGCUGAGGUUCGAAAGCGUGGGUAGCAAACAGGAUUAGAUACCCUGGUAGUCCACGCCGU